AGAGUUUGAUCAUGGCUCAGAUUGAACGCUGGCGGCAGGCCUAACACAUGCAAGUCGAACGGUAGCACAGAGGAGCUUGCUCCUGGGUGACGAGCGGCGGACGGGUGAGUAAUGUAUGGGGAUCUGCCUGAUGGCGGGGGAUAACUACUGGAAACGGUAGCUAAUACCGCAUAAUGUCUGCGGACCAAAGCGGGGGACCUCCGGGCCUCGCGCCAUCAGAUGAACCCAUAUGGGAUUAGCUUGUAGGUAAGGUAACGGCUUACCUAGGCGACGAUCCCUAGCUGGUCUGAGAGGAUGAUCAGCCACACUGGAACUGAGACACGGUCCAGACUCCUACGGGAGGCAGCAGUGGGGAAUAUUGCACAAUGGGCGCAAGCCUGAUGCAGCCAUGCCGCGUGUAUGAAGAAGGCCUUAGGGUUGUAAAGUACUUUCAGUUGGGAGGAAGGCGUUGAUGCUAAUAUCAUCAACGAUUGACGUUACCAACAGAAGAAGCACCGGCUAACUCCGUGCCAGCCGCCGCGGUAAUAC
RNAcentral lists this ribosomal RNA (528 nucleotides) under uncultured bacterium. Its description in RNAcentral is "bacterial SSU rRNA". It matches the Rfam family "Bacterial small subunit ribosomal RNA", at positions 8 to 526 of the family's 1533-position model. The record is from RNAcentral.